UUCUUCUUCGUUCACUUAUUAUGCCUACAGGAACAGAUUGAAGUUGUAACGACCAUGGCUAUCCUGCCUUUUCUUCUUUCUCUAAACGUUUUAGACCUCUAAAUAUCUCUCUGUAAAUACGGAAGUUACUCCCAGUUAACCCACGAUUCCAUUCAGGAGAUCAAAGCCCCAUUUGAGUGCACCUUAAUCUCCGUUAAUGGCCAUGAUGCUGCAAGAAACGGCCGCGACAAUUAACUCCACCUCCCGUUGCUCCACUCGCUUCCCCUUUGUAUAAAUUCCACCUAGUGCUUCCCAUCGCAGACCACACCCGUGCACCACUCCACGCCCCCAGGCUGCCCCUGUAGAGGGCGAAUUUCUUCGCCGGAGUUCGACGGUCGCCGCGACGCACUUGUCGAUUUCGCCGGCCGGAGGUCGUCCACGACGAGCACACGACUCCACCGCCGGUCCGUCCGUCUGCCACUGUCUCCAACUCUCCAGGAGCUUUUCCGAGAUUUUCCCAAGGCCAUCAUCGUCUUCGUCGUGCCAGAAGGAGUGCUUGUCCGCUACACCCUCAGCUCUGGUGACACCCGCAUAGUGCAGGCCGUUCUCCGCUGCCCUGCACAACCUCUCCGAUUGUCAAGUCUCGUUGCUUGCACGGAGAGCUAAGCGUUUUUGUUGAGAGAAGUGAACGUUCAUCGACUAACAAGCAAAGGCAAG
Molecule: non-coding RNA, 696 nt
Organism: Lolium perenne
Lineage: Eukaryota; Viridiplantae; Streptophyta; Magnoliopsida; Poales; Poaceae
Source: RefSeq, a predicted model, not a curated record